AUAACAUCAUUCACACAAGAUUCUUGCUCUUUUUUCUACAUUAUUUUAUUGCUCUUCUUGAAUCAUCUUCCUCUUCCUCUUUUUUUUCCUUUUUUCUGUUGUUGAUAAAUUUGUUGUUAUUAUUACCUUUACAAACUCAUUAGUUUUAUUUAUUAAAAUAUGAUAUUCUUUGUUGUCAUGAUGGUGAUGGGUUGGCAUGCUCGCAGGAAUUCUGGCUUUUCUAAAUUUCUUUGACACAUGUUCAUCUUCUUCCUGUGAUGUGUCUUUUGCUUUCUGGGUUGUCCUCAGAAUUCAGAACUCAGAAUUCAGACAGUUACAGUUUAUCAUAAACCGAUUUGGAUUCAGAGUCACAAUUGAACUCUUAUUGAUUUUUCUUUUUCUGUGGAAUUAUUUGUUUGUGGGGAUUCUGUCAGGAAUUCAAUUCCCCAAGUUCACAUGCGUGCUUUUCUCGGAGCCUUCUGUUUUUGAAUUUCGCAAUUGGGUCAGAGUGAAAAAUUGCUUCUUUCAACCAAUUCAGGAUUAAUUUUGUGAAAAACAGAUUUUCAUGUCUCACAGUCAUCUUUGAAUUCAACUGGUGCAACAAUUCUUGAUAAGAAACCUUGGAAUUUCGUACGCUACAAAAAUUGCUGCUCUGGUUUUGUGCAAAUUGCUCAUGAUGAUUGUCUCAAUGAGUUUUAUGUGCUUGGGAUGAUUUAAAAUUCUGGGUUUUGUGGUUUGAAUCUUAAAUGGACGUGCCUCCUUAUUGUAAGCACUUCAGAGUAUUCGGUUGCCACUUGAAUUCCUUUGCAUGCAAAUGUGUUGUUUUAGCUUUCAUUGCUCUGAUUCUCAGAGCUGUUCUGCUUCCUACGUUCCAUAAUUUUGGUGGAGCUGAACAGAGCAAGUUGGUCUUCAUCAGUAACCUCUCUUUGUCACUCGGUCAGAAAUUCGGAAUUAGAAAAGAUAAGUUUCUGGAGGUUCCUCAAAUUGUAUGGGGCUUAAACAAUCAAAAGAUUGCGUUUGCAAGAGCUUGUUUAACUGCAAGGUUUCUGAACCGGACUCUUUUGAUGCCCAGCUUGAGUGCUUCCCUGUUCUACAAAGAAGUCGAGCUCUUGGAGCCUAUUUCCUUUGAUAAGGUGUUCCAGUUCAAGAAGUUUAAUUCUCUCUGUAAUGGCUUUGUUCAACUGGGCGAGUUCUCGGAUCUUAGAAACCGAACGGAAGCCUUUGAGCUUCAGAAAGGAAGUGGAAGGAGGUGGACACCUGAGAGAGAUUUGUAUCAGUUGAAACAGCACAAUGAGGAUCCAUAUAAUGAGUUUGAGGUCAUUCGAAUCAUUGGAAAGAACCCGUUUCUGUGGCACGAUCAUUGGCCUGUGAAGGACUAUGCGAAGGUAUUUGAGUGCUUGGUUCUGGUUGAUGAGAUAAUGAAUGAAGUAGAUAAAGUUGUGUCCAGGAUUAGAGAGAUAGGAGCAGCACAAGUAAGAAGCCAGAAUGAGUCUCCACAAAAUGGCAUUAACCGGGCAGAGAAGCCUCUCUUGCAGCCAGUGCCUUAUGUGGCUGUACACAUGAGGAUAGAGAUAGACUGGAUGAUUCAUUGUAAGAAGCUAGAGCAAAGAUCAAACAUAAGUCAAAUUUGUAGCAGCAAGGAGGAGAUCAUGGAGAGAGUGGGCAACAUUGCUGGCCUGAAAACACCGGUCGUUGUUUAUUUAGCUGUGGCUGAUAGUCUUCUUCAUGAUCCAUCUAUAUUGAGUGGCUGGAAGGAAGGCUUGAUUCCUUAUGAGAAGAAGAAAUUGGGGUUUGAAGGGACUUACAAGAAGUUCCCUUAUCUCAUUCAGUCUGCAAUCGACUAUGAAGUGUGUUCAAGGGCUGAUGUCUUUGUGGGAAACAGUUUCUCCACAUUUUCGAACCUUAUAGUUCUCGAUCGAACGCAGAAGCUCAUUAGAAUGGGCGUCACAAGCUCUUGUGGUGUGGAUGUAAGGUGGCCUUCUUAUGCAUACAACAUAUUAGGGGAAGCAAAAGGCCCUCAAAGAUGGAUGACAAACAUGUCUGGCUCAAGUCUUCAAGCAAUUAGCUAUGGCUCCAAUGACAUUUCGUGUUGUGUUGAUCUUUAGUUUUUCCAUUGGUGGACAUGUUCAAGGCUCCACCACUUCUUGUAAUCUACAUCAUCCCGUCCCUCCAGCGCAAUAUUUUCGGAUGAUGGUACAGAUGACCAAAACAAACAGAUAAAGACAGAAGGAAAUGGAAUGGGACAGUCUUUAGCACAAGCAAGGAAUUAAGUUAUUUGGUACUUGAUUUUUGAUUCUUGUGGUGGGUCAUGUCCUUGGCUCUCAACUUUGAGCUUUUUUGGCCCAUCAUCUGUGUGUAUUUAUUUGACUUACUGAAAAUUCUCGCUCA
This is an RNA transcript of Prunus persica (peach), 2367 nucleotides long. RefSeq lists it as uncharacterized. The transcript is spliced from 4 exons. The record is from RefSeq and is a predicted model, not a curated record. Lineage: Eukaryota; Viridiplantae; Streptophyta; Magnoliopsida; Rosales; Rosaceae.